Molecule: long non-coding RNA, 216 nt
Filed under: Linum usitatissimum (flax)
Lineage: Eukaryota; Viridiplantae; Streptophyta; Magnoliopsida; Malpighiales; Linaceae
Description: long non-coding RNA (LUSI_LNC007818)
Source: RNAcentral
UUUGUUAUUUUAGAUUUUUUUUCUUUUUUUUUUCUUUUUAAGGUAUCCUUUAAAAGUUUUACUCUGAAAUAUUUGGAUUGGAUUUGUGGGCAUGGAAAUCAAACUAAGUGCACAAAUACUAUAUGAAGUUUAAAGUAAAUUUUGAAAUGGUCAUUUAAGAGUGUAAAUGAUGUUAAAUUUGUAUGAAAUUUUUUUGCCUGUCCCAGAAUACUAAAA